GCUGGCAUAUCACUAGUCGACUUAACCCAACUUGAACAACCUUUCUAUUCCAGGUACGUGUACAAGUAUGUAUAUCCUUUUACAAUAUGCAAAUCAUGCAUUUAGAUACCAUAACGUGAUACAAUGACAUUGAUCAAUCAUAAGCUUAUAAAGCAUGCAUGCAUGAGCGAGGGAGCCCAUGCAAACGCCUGACAUAUGAACUGUAACAGUGCGCGCGUAUGACAUGCAAUAGCUACGAGUAAAUCGAUGGAUAGAUGGAUCACAUGGGGCAGGUGAAGUUGGCGGGGCACUUCUUGCCGCACUGGUUGAGUNNNNNNNNNNGGUUCGAUUUGAAAUUGUCCAUUAAGAUGAAACCAAUAUAGGAUUUAAUCUUCCCAGCCACACGAUGCGGAUGAUGCAAAUUCUCACCAUUUCUUAUAUUAUUUCUUUUAUCCGAGAUGUGCCAUAUAGCCACAGUAAAGUACAAUGCGUGAAGAUCUGGUGCAACAUUUAUCCAUUCUAGCAAUCAUUGAUGAAUAUUGAUAAACCUUUUUAGAUUUAGCACGAUAUGAAAAGACCUUUCAUAGUUUGCCCAAAAAUUCUUUGACAUAAUGGGAAAAGAAGAAACAAUGUUCCACAGUCUCAACUCUAUUACAGAUAAAACACUCAUACCUCGUAGGAAAUGUUCCACAGUUUCAUCAAUGUUCCUCACCAGUAGGUAAAAAAUUACGAACCAUUCUCCAUAAGAUGAUCUUCAUUCUAUUUGGACUUUGUAUUUCGAGUUUUUGCUCUAUAUUUUUCCUGUUUCCUCCAUGUUCGAGGCUGAUCCUCUUCCAUCAGAGCUCUAGUACAUCCAGAACGAUAAGGAUUUUGCAAGGUUAUACCGAGACAAUAUAGUGUAGGUGCCUCCAUUCGUGUAUGGCCAUGAUGCGAAAUCUCAGCACCCUUAUGAACUUAGAGGGAUCUUUAGGAUCUUUACAACCAGGUUUUUUGGAAACAUUUCACUAACAACCACACUGUUUCAUGAUUUACCAUCAGUUAAAAACAAAUGGUUCGCAGUCUUAUCCUCCUCCACCGGGAAAUUUGUACAAAGUAUGCCACGAAAUGAGUGUGGGAUCCAAUUAUCUUAAAUCAAAGAUAUUUGCUUUCCGUCUCCUAAUUGCAAGAAUAAGCCGUUUUGAAGGAGUUUCUUACCAAAUAAUAUGCUGCGCCAUGUGUGGGAAGCUGAUCUUGGGCAUCCUGAUCUCCAAAAAUCUCCAUGCGGGAAAUACCUUCCUUCUAAUACCUUGAAGCAUAAUGAAUUGGGGUUCACUAAGAGCCUACAGCACUGCUUUGCAAGCAUGGCUUGAUUAAAAAUCACCAAGUCCCUGAAUCCCAUUCCUCCAAGAUACUUGGGCGAGGAUAGCCAAUUAGAGGACCUCCAAUGAAUUUUUUCCUCCCAUCUUCCAUUCCCCACCAUACUGGAGAUAGGUCUAUUCAUGUUCUCACAUAUUGAUAUUGGAAUUUGGAAGCAGCACAUUACAUAUGUCCGGAUGGCUUGAGCCACCGACUUUAGAAGUACUUCUCUACCUUCUCUGGAUAACAGUCUUAUCAUUCCACCCAUUUAAUAUCCUCCAUAGCCUCCGAGUGAGGAAAUUAAAAUUGCUUGUUGUAGAGCAUCCCACCCAAGAAGGCAUGCCAAGGUAAGUGGCUUGUAGAGACUCAUCUCGGACUCCUACCAUGUUCUUUACUCGUUCCUUCACCCGAUUGUCACAAUGAUGUCCAAAGAAGAUAUAUGACUUGUGCAAGUUGAUUUUCUGACUAGAGCCUUUGUAGUACGUCUCAAGAGCGAUUUUAAGUAUGUUUGUGCUUCUAUUGUCGCCCUUCACAAAAAAUAUGCUAUCAUCAUCAAAUAAGAGGUGGUAAAUAGGAUNNNNNNNNNNUUGAUGUCCAAAGAAGAUAUAUGACUUGUGCAAGUUGAUUUUCUGACCAGAGCCUUUGUAGUAGGUCUCAAGAGCAAUUUUAAGUAUGUUUGUGCUUCUAUUGUCUCCCGUCACAAAAAAUAUGCUAUCAUCAUCAAAUAAGAGGUGGUAAAUAGGAUGGCCUGCUUUUCUGUUCUUGAUUUCUCUAAUGUCCCUUAUUGCUUCUUUUAACUGUAGAAGACAAGAUAAACCUUCAGGACAUAAUAAAAAUAAGUAUGGGCUGAUGGGAUCACCCUGACAUAUGCCUCUAGUAGGUAUGAAAGGGCCAGUUAAGUUCCCAUUUACUUUGACUGCAUAUUGUAUAGAGGUCACACACCUCAUCACCGAUUCUAACUAGUUUCAAAUAAAGCCAAAUUUAACAAGAACCCCUUUCAAAUAAGGCCAUUCAACUCUAUCAUACACUAGUAGAAAAGAGGGCUUUGGUCCACUUGAUAAAAUCCCAUUAGUCUUGGGCCGACCCAUGUGGGAGGCGGGACACCAAUGUUUUUUUUUUAUAUAUUUCCUUUUUUCUUUUCUGUAUUUGUAUUUUCUAUUUUAAAAUAAUUCAGGAUUACAAAAUGUUUCCAUUUUCAGGAAAUAGAGAAAUAAAAAUAUUUUGAGAAAUCAUAAAUAUUCGUGAAUUCGUGAAAUGUGCAUGUUUUUGAAAAACAUUUGGGAAGUCAUAAAAUUUUCAAAUUUAAAAGAAUUCAUGAUUUUCAAACAAAUCUUUGCAUAUUCAAAGAUCUUUCAUGNNNNNNNNNNGAAAUCCCAUUAGUCUUGGGCCGACCCAUGUGGGAGGCGGGACACCACUGUUUUUUUUAUAUAUUUUUCCUUUUUUUCUUUUCUGUAUUUGUAUUUUCUAUUUUAAAAUAAUUCAAGAUUAUAAAUUUUUUCCAUUUUCAGGAAAUAGAGAAAUAAAAAUAUAUUUGAGAAAUCAUAAAUAUUCGUGAAUUCAUGAAAUGUGCAUGUUUUUUAAAAACAUUUGGGAAGUCAUAAAAUUUUCAAAUUUAAAAUAAUUCAUGAUUUUCAAACAAAUCUUUGCAUAUUCAAAGAUCUUUCAUGAUUUUGAAAAAAAGUCCGGGAAAGAAAUAAAGUGUGUGGGUUCAAAAACAAUUAUUAAAGAUGGAAGAAGUUCAUGAAUUAAAACAAUAUUCACGAUUCUGUAAAAAAUGUCCAUAAAAAAUGUAUUUCAGUUUAAAUUGUCCCUGAAUUUCGAAGUUCAUCNNNNNNNNNNAAAAAGUGUGUGGGUUCAAAAACAAUUCUUAAAGAUGGAAGAAGUUCAUGAAUUAAAACAAUAUUCAUGAUUCUGUAAAAAAUGUCCGUAAAAAAUGUAUUUCAGUUUAAAUUGUCCCUGAAUUUCGAAGUUCAUCAAUUGAAAAGAGGUUUGCUGAAUGAAAGUAUGUUCAUGGUUUUCAAAAACAAAUUUAUUAAAAAAAUUGUGAUCUUCAAAAAGUUUUUCCAAAAUAUAAAAAUAUUUAUCAAUUCAAAACAAUUGGUUUAACUUUAAAAAAAUGUUCAUGAUUUCAAAUAAUGUCCGAGAAUAUGCAAAAAAUACGAAUAUAAAAAAUGUACACGUUUCAAAACAUGUCCAUAAAUUGAAAAAAUGUUUAUGAUUUCCAAAUGUGUUCACAAUUUUGAUAUUUUUUCAAUAUUUGUUUUUUUUGAAAAAGACAGGAAAAUUGAAAUUGGAAAUAAUGAAAAAUAUAAUAAAANNNNNNNNNNUCACGUUUCAAAACAUGUCCAUAAAUUGAAAAAAUAUUCAUGAUUUCGAAAUGUGUUCACAAUUUUGAUUUUUUUUUCAAUAUUUGUUUUUUUAAAAAGACAGGAAAAUUGAAAUUGGAAAUAAUGAAAAAUAUAAUAAAAGGCAAACAAGAAAAAAAAUGAGAAAUGAAAAAUUAAAAUGAAAAUGACAUAAUAAAAGAAAAUCAAAAAUAGAAAAGAAAGUGGAAAAGGAGAAAUACGAAAAUGAGAAAGAUAUAGAAAAAUAAAAAGAAGCAACAAAGAAGAAGAAAAUAAAAACUGACUCAACGAAGGUUCUAGAACUUCCGCCAACUGAAAAGAAAAAAAACUAGACUAGGAUGGUCCAAACGCGGGACAAUCUCGGGAGGGGGCUAUGCACCAGCUUGCUAUAGAGCGACCUACAUGCCAAAUNNNNNNNNNNUACUUCCGCCAACUGAAAGGAAAAAAAAUAGACUAGGAUGGUCCAAACGCGGGACAAUCUCAGGAGGGGGCUAUGCACCAGCUUGCUAUAGAGCGACCUACAUGCCAAAUUGGAACAAGAAAGCAAGACAUAGUCAUGCCACAUACGCUUGGUUGUCUCAUGGCAAUCGACAGGUAGCCCCUUGACUAUGUGCCAAGCCACACAUGUAGGUUGUAUCACUAAAGGCUUAAUUAUUCAGCCCGGCGUCAUCGCGCACUUGAGUAUUUCUUUCCUGUGUGGUCUAGAUGGGCUUGAUUUGUGGUCGUGGAUGACACCGUGAAGACCUCUUAUGGCAAGGCCAAGUGCACCGUACUCAUCCAGGCCUCGUAUGAAUAACCUCUUUUUCCUCUUAAUUCUCUUGUUUUAAUACUUCUCCUAGUUUCUAAUUUCUUCUUGUUUCGAAAUUUCAGACAAGCAUGGCAGGUUUGGGCUUGAUCUGAAGAUUUUCUUCCUCGGACCGUAACAGAAUUUGGUUUGUUCAAGAAGCUCAAGUAAGUCUUCUUUUUACCAGCAAAAGAAAGAAGCUCAUGUAAGUAUUUUUCUUAAGAUCUUUUAACCCAAGAAAGGAUAUGUGUCCUUGUUGCUCAAUCGUUUUUCCGAUCUCCGACUAAGACAUCCUGAUAAGAACGGCGCCCAAAUAUUUCACAUGAACAUGGUUCCUAUAUACAAGCUAUACAUUAUGUUUCAAAAGUAUGACAUAUAUAAAUAUGCCAAGUUCUGUUGCUUUCAUGCUUAGCACNNNNNNNNNNGAUCCUGACAAGAACGGGGCCCAAAUGUUUCACAUGACCAUGGUUCCUAUAUACAAGCUAUACAUUAUGUUUCAAAAAUAUGACAUAUAUAAAUAUGCCAAGUUCUGUUGCUUUCAUGCUUAGCACCUUUGGUUAACACCCCCAGGAUAGCAGGUAUACAUUUUUAACCAGGGUAGUUAUAAUUAAUCUUUUUUGCUUCCGAGCACCCAUUGUAUAUAGAGAGAUUUACACUAGGAUGUCAAUACCAUCUGUAUAUUUUGUUGUUGUUGACACUGCCUUAUCAAACUAAAUAAACAAAAANNNNNNNNNNNNNNNNNNNNNNNNNNNNNNNNNNNNNNNNNNNNNNNNNNNNNNNNNNNNNNNNNNNNNNNNNNNNNNNNNNNNNNNNNNNNNNNNNNNNUCCGACGGCCACCUUCAUGGAUAUGUUCUUGAAUUUCUGAUGAAGUUCACAUGAUGUUGAAUCCUUGAUUCCAUCCACGGGGUAGCCGGGACCGCCCUCUAUCAUUCUUCGUUCAUCGGCGGGCGGGGCCUCAGAUUCAGCCACGCUGCUUUUCCGCUUAGAUGGGGCACCGGUAAUAUCAAGUGCAGGAUCUUCCUGGCGCGGUACUCCUCUAAGCUCAUCAAUCUUCUUCUGUUGCUCGUUAAUCCUGGCAAGCAACUGGUUGAACUUGUCAUUCUCCUCAUCCUGCUUCCGCUUCUGUGCUCUCUCUCGGCUUCUGUAAGUGUCUUGGUCUCUGGCAAACCCAAGCCACCACGGGUAAGAUGGACCGAAGCCUCGCAUUCGUCCUCCAUGUUCGUCAUUGCCGAGGACCAGUGUGAGCAAAUCUUUAUCUCUAUCUGCAGUGAACUUUCUUUGUCCCUCCUUAAUUUCUUUCACUAUCCUUUUCCAAUUCUCCCUGGGUAUCCUAAGAUUGUCAUUGCAGAUGAGGUCCCCUGUUUUUUCGUCGCACGACCCACCAUGCGCAAGGAACCAAUUUCUUGCUCUCCAUUCCCACUCAUCACGGAGUGGUUCAGGUACGAUGCCUUUAUCUAUCAGAUCUUGCUCUUUCUUUUCCCACUUUGGGAUCGCAGUCUCAUAGCCCCCUGGCCCCAGCUUGUGGUUAUAUAUCUUCUUGUCGGCAUUUAUCUUGUUCUUUUCUGAUAAUGCCUGGGCAUNNNNNNNNNNCCCUGGCCCCAGCUUGUGGUGAUAUUUCUUCUUGUCGGCAUUUAUCUUGUUCUUUUCUGAUAAUGCCUGGGCAUCUUCUCACUCCUUGUACUCUUGAAAUUCCUUCCAGUGAUUCGCAUGCUUGGCUAGAUACCCCUCGAAUACUGGCACUUUCUUUGUCGUCAGAUAGUUUUUCCAUAGCUUCUUCUUCCAGCUACGGAAUAGUUCGGCCAUCUUCUUUAGAGUCGACUGCUUGACUUUGGCCCUCAGUUUGUCUGCGGCGUCUUCAUUCUCACAUUCUGGCAGGUUGAAAUGUGACAUGAUAUCAUUCCAAAGACUAUCUUUGUACCUUUCGACGACAUAGUCACUAUCGGCUGCCCCUUUGCGCUUGUUCCACUCCCGAACGCUGAUCGGGACGUGAUACCUAACGAGAACUCCGCAUUGCUUCUUGAAUGUGUCAGCAUCAUUCUUAGGAAGCUUGGGUUCACCCGUAGGCAUUAUCAGCUCAAAGGUGUAAUGCGUCNNNNNNNNNNNNNNNNNNNNNNNNNNNNNNNNNNNNNNNNNNNNNNNNNNNNNNNNNNNNNNNNNNNNNNNNNNNNNNNNNNNNNNNNNNNNNNNNNNNNNNNNNNNNNNNNNNNNNNNNNNNNNNNNNNNNNNNNNNNNNNNNUGGAGGCCUAAGAGGGAGAAACAUUCGUCAAAUGAAUGUAUAUGUAUAGAAUAUAGAGCUAUCUCCAAUAUUUUUCACAUAUUACAAGUGAUUGUCGAACUUCAUAUGUAUACCUCGCCGGACUUUAUUAUUUCUUCACCGGCUUAUCCACCGGCUUCUUCAUCAGUGGAGCUAUCACCUUCUCCAUCAUUGGACCUAUCUCCUUUUUCUUCUUUUCUUCUCCUUUUUCUUCUUUUCUUCUCCUUUUUCUUCUUUUCUUCUCUUUUUCCUUCCUUUCUUCUCCUUUUUCUUCUUUUCUUCUCUUUUUCCUUCCUUUCUUCUCCUUUUUCUUCUUUUCUUCUCUUUUUUCUUCUUUGCUUGUGCUGGCCGGAGUGUUGGGGAGGAGGGGGCAUGGGGCUUACCGGCCGGAGGUGUCGACGGCGCGCGGCGAGGAGGACGGCGGCGCGCGGCGAGGAGGACGGGGCGACUCGCGGCGAGCAGGACGGCGGCGGCGAGUANNNNNNNNNNGCCCCAUCGGCUUCAUCUUCGUGUCGCUCGACCUCCAUUCCAUAUCCAUAGUCGUUUAGAUAUGACGUCGGAGAUUCAGCUGGUUCAACGUCGGGGCCGUCUUUGAUUAUAUCUUCGAGAAGUUCUUCCUCUUCGAGGUUCCUGAUAUGUGGAUCCAUAGUUCUGCAAAAAACGGACAUUUGAUUAACUAAUAAACUAACAAACUAUAUAAGAGGGGUUGGAAACUUCGAAGGCUCGUUUUAUAUAGGAGGACCUUUAGUCCCGGGUCUUGGCUAGAACCUAAACUCUAAAAUACCAGCCGGGCGGAGCCCAGUCCCGGACACUUAAGCAUAUACAAUAGCAAAAUUAAACUAGUUCUAUUAAUUUUCUUGCUAAAAAUAAACUAUUAACACUUAAGCAUAUACAAUAGAAAAAUUAAACUAUUAACAAUUAAGCAUAUACAAUAGCAAAAUUAAGCAAUAAUCUAAGAAACACUAUUAACACUUAAGCAUAUACACUAUACAAUAGCAAAAUUAAAUGACAAAAAAAAUAGUUCUUCUUCUUGUAACCCUAAACUAAUUUUUCCUCUUCUUCUAUUUGUCCUCUUCUUCUACUUCUUCUUCUACUUCUACUUCUCCUCUUCUUCUACUACUUCUCCUCUCCUCUUCUUCUAUUUUUCCUCUUCUUCUCCUCUCCUCCUCUUCUUAUUCUCCUUUUUCUUCUUUUCUUCUCCUCCUCUUCUUAUUCUCCUUUUUCUUCCUUUCUUCUCCUUUUUCUUCCUUUCUUCUAUUUUUCUUCCUUUCUUCUCCUUUUUCUUCCUUUCUUCUCCUUUUUCUUCUUUUCUUCUCCUUUUCCUUCCUUUCUUCUCCUUUUUCUUCUUUUCUUCUCUUUUUUAUUCCUUUCUUCUCCUUUUUCUUCCUUUCUUCUCCUUUUUCUUCUUUGCUUGUGCUGGCCGGAGUGUUGGGGAGGAGGGGGUGUGGGGCUUACCGGCCGGAGGUGUCGACGGCGUGCGGCGAGGAGGACGGCGGCGAGCGGCGAGGAGGACGGCGGCGCGCGGCGAGGAGGGCGGCGCGCGGCGAGCAGGACGANNNNNNNNNNNNNNNNNNNNNNNNNNNNNNNNNNNNNNNNNNNNNNNNNNNNNNNNNNNNNNNNNNNNNNNNNNNNNNNNNNNNNNNNNNNNNNNNNNNNCCCGAGUGCGACUUUUAGUGCACACUCGGAGAAAGUUAAUACUUAGGCGAUUCUNNNNNNNNNNGAGUGUAUCUGUAGGAUACACUCGAAGGCAAUUGAGUACUUAGGCGAUUCGUGAUCGCGGCUAAGUCUUCGAGUGCGACUGUAAGGUCGUGCUCAGAGCGAGUUUUUACUCAUGUAAUUGUUAGUGGUGUUGACAUCUACAUGAGCCUCAAUGAGGUUCUGCUACUCAUGUAAUUGUCAGUUGUCUUGACAUCUACAUGAGCCUCACUGAGGGUCUGUUGAGUCCCCAAGUUUAUCUGUAGGAUACACUCAAAGGCAAUUGAGUACUUAGGCGAUUCUGAUCGCGGCUAAGUCUUUGACUGCGACUGUAAGGUCGUGCUCGGAGCGAGUUGUUACUCAUGUAAUUGUCAGUGGUCUUGACAUCUACAUGAGCCUCAAUGAGGUUCUGCUACUCAUGGAAUUGUCAGUUGUCUUGACAUCUACAUGAGCCUCACUGAGGGUCUGUUGAGUCCCCNNNNNNNNNNNNNNNNNNNNNNNNNNNNNNNNNNNNNNNNNNNNNNNNNNNNNNNNNNNNNNNNNNNNNNNNNNNNNNNNNNNNNNNNNNNNNNNNNNNNAGUCUACACUUCUUAAUAUGUCCGAUAGAAAUAUUAAGAUUGAGGCUGAGAAGAAGGUGCAAACUCUUCUCACAGAGAGGAGAUGAAAUGGGCCCUUUGAGCAAAGGUGGCGAAGGUGGACCAUGGAGAUGAUAAAACACAAUUCUUUCACAUGAUUGGGAAUGGCAAACAUAGGAAGAAGAAAAUAAUUCUACUUGAACACGAUGAUGAUACAAUUGUAGGAAAUGAGAACCUAAAAUUGUACAUCUUCGAGUAUUAUAAGAAACUUUUUGGUGCACCCGAAGAGAAUUUUGUUUUUCUGGAUUAGAGCACAACAAGUGACAUUCCUCAACCCAGUUCAGAUGAGAACGAGAUUUUGUCAGCCCCAUUUACGGAUGAAGAGAUGUUUGACGCAAUAUCACAAAUGAAGCAAAAUAAGGCACCGGGACCAGAUGGGUUUCUGAUGGAAUUUUAUAAAAAGUGUUGGCAUAUUAUUAAAGAUGAUAUUUGCAUAUGUUCCAUGAUUUGUUUAAUGGGUAUUUACAUCUAUUCCACCUUAACUUUGGAAUAAUAAUGGUGUUUCUAAAGAAGGUGGAGGCUAUUCGCAUUGAGAAGAUCAGGCUGACUGCUCAAUGCCAGCUUCAAAAAAUUUACAAAGGUUGGCACGAAUAGGUUGACAAAGAUAGCCCAUUCCGUAGUCCAAUCGACCGAGACAACUUUCAUGCAUGGAAGACAUAUCCUAGAAGGGUUCAUUGUUUUGCAUGAAAAGUUGCAUGAAAUACAUAAAAAGAAACUUGAUGGGCUUAUCUUUAAAGUGGAUCUCAAGAAGGCGUACGAUAAGGUCAAAUGGCCAUUUCUUCAACAAGCCUUGUGUAUGAAGGGAUUCAACGAAUCCUAGAGGGAUCAUGUGGGUGCUUUCAUUUAGAAAGGUAGAGUUGGGAUUAAAAUUAAUGAUGACAUAGCUCAUUAUUUUUAGACUCAUAAGGGAUUGAGGCACGGAGAUUUCAUGUCUCCCUUGUUGUUCAACAUAGUAGCAGAUAUGUUGGCACUCCUUAUUGAUCGGGCUAAAGAGAAUGGCCAAGUAGGAGGACUUCCUUGGGGAACGUCGCAUGGGAAACAAAAAAUUUCCUACGCGCACUAAUACGUCCAUUUUGCAUCAUUCUUUCAUGUUGAUAUUUAUUGUUUUUUCGGAUUUUAUAUUACUUCUGGUAGCAUAUUUAUGCCUCUUCUCUCUUAUUUUGCAAGGCUUAUUUGAAGAGGGAGAAUUCAGGCAGCUGGAAUUCAGGACUGGAAAAGGAGCAAAUCCUAGUCCACUAUUCUGCACAUCUCCAAAUACCCUGAAAAUUUACGUGGAUUUUUUCUGGAAUAUAUUAAAAAUACUGGGCGAAAGAACUACCGGAGGGGUCCACCAGGGCCCCACAAGCCCCCACUCCGCCACCAACCCCCCUGGUGGCGGUGGGCAAGCUUGUGUGCUGCCUGAAGGCCCACUAGCCCCCCUCUUUUGCUAUGUGAAGCGUCCUGACCUGGGAAAAAUCAUACGGGAGCUUUUUCGUGGUUUCGCCGUCGCCACGAGGCGGAACUUGAGCACAUCCAAUCUAGAGCUCCGGUAGGACGAUCCCGCCAGGGAAAUUUCCCUCCCGGAGGGGGGGAAUCGUCGCCAUCGUCAUCACCAACACUCCUCUCGUCGGAGGGGAGUCAUCUUCAUCAACAUGUUCAUCAGCACCAUCUCCUCUCCAAUCCCUAGUUCAUCUCUUGUAAUCAAUCUUCGUCUCGCGACUCCGAUUGGUACUUUUAAGGUUGCUAGUAGUGUUGAUUACUCUUUGUAGUUGAUGCUUGUUGGAUUACUUGGUGGAAGAGUUGAUGUUCAUAUCCUUGAUGCUAUUCAUUACACCUCUGGUCAUGAUUAUGAUUAUGUCUUGUGAGUAGAUACUUUUGUUCGUGAGGACAUGGGAUAAGUCAUGCUGAUAAUAGUCAUGUGAAUUUGAUAUUCGUUCGGUAUUAUGAUAUGAUGUAUGUUGUUUUCCCUCUAGUGGUGUUAUGUGAACGUCGACUACAUAACACUUCACCAUGUUUGGGCCUAGAGGAAGGCAUUGGGAAGUAGUAAGUAGAUGAUGGGUUGCUGGAGUGACACAAGCUUAAACCCCAGUUUAUGCGUUGCUUCGUGAGGGGCUGAUUUGGAUCCACUAGUUUAAUGCUAUGGUUAGACUUUGUCUUAAUUCUUCUUUUGUAGUUGCGGAUGCUUGCGAGAGAGGUUAAUCAUAAGUGGAUGCUUUUCCAAGUAAGGGCAGUACCCAAGCGCCGGUCCACCCACAUAUCAAACUAUCAAAGUAACGAACGUGAAUCAUAUGAACAUGAUGAAACUAGCAUGACAGAAAUUCCCGUGUGUCCUCGGGAGCGUUUUUCCUCCUAUAAGACUUUGUUCAGGCUUGUCCCUUGCUACAAAAGGGAUUGGGACACUUGCUGCACUGUUUCUACUACUUGUUACUUGUUACUCUUUGCUUGCUACGUUUCACCUCGCUACACAAUCACCUAUUACCGCUACUUUCAGUGCUUGCAGUUAUUACCUUGCUGAAAUCCGUUUAUCACAGCCUUCUGCUCCUCGUUGGGUUCGACACUCAUACUUAUCGAAAGGACUAUGAUUGAUCCCCUAUACUUGUGGGUCAUCAAGACUCUUUUCUGGCGCCGUUGCCGGGGAGUGAAGCGCCUUUGGUAACUGGAAAUUGGUAAGGAAACAUUUAUAUACUAUGCUGAAAUUUAUUGUCACUUGUCACUAUGGAAACUCUUCCUUUGAGGAGUUUGUUCGGGGUAUAUUCACCACGAACGGAAGCACGAGGAGUUGCUCCUCAACCUGAGGUACCUACUGAAAAUAUCUUUUAUGAAAUUGCUUUGGGUAUGCUUGAGAAACUGCUGGCUAAUCCUUUCACAGGAGAUGGAUCUUCACAUCCAGACUUUCAUCUAAUCUAUGUAGAUGAAGUUUGUGGUUUAUUUAAGCUUGCAGGUUUGCCCGAGGAUGAGGUAAAUAAGAAAGUCUUUCCUUUAUCUUUGAAGGAUAAGGAGUUGACAUGGUAUAGGCUAUGUGAUGAUGAUGGAUCAUGGGGCUACAAUCGGUUGAAAUUGGAAUUUCAUCAAAAGUUCUAUCCUAUGCAUUUAGUACAUCGUGAUCGGAACUUUAUUUAUAACUUUUGGCCUCGUGACAGGGAAAGCAUAGCUCAAGCUUGGGGAGGCUUAAAUCAAUGAUAUAUUCAUGCCCCAAUCAUGAGCUCUCGAGAGAAAUCAUCACUCAAAACUUUUAUGCUCGGCUUUCUCAUGAAGAUCGUACCAUGCUUGACACUUCUUGUGCCGAUUCUUUUAUGAAGAAGGAUAUUGAUCACAAGUGGAAUUUAUUGGAGAGAAUCAAACGCAACUCCGAAGAUUGGGAGUUGGAGGAAGGUAAGGACUCAGGUAUGAAUUUCCAGUUUGAUUGCGUUAAAUCUUUUGUUGAGACAAACACUUCUAGAGAUUUUAGCGCUAAGUAUGGACUUGACUCUGAGAUAGUAGCAUCUCUUUGUGAAUCUUUUGCUGCUCAUGUUGAACUUCCCAAAGAGAAGUGGCAUCCUCCUGUAGAAAGCAACAUAGCCUAAACCAAUCUAGUUGAGGAGAAAAUCAUAGCUUUUAGUGAUCCUGUUGUUCCUUGUGCUUACACUAAGAAACCACCAUCCCCUGCUAGAAUGAAGGAUUAUUCUAAAGCUCCAACUGUGAUAUGUAGGGGUUACAUUAGACCACUUGCACCCCCUGAGGAGAUUAGAGUUGAACCUAGUGUUGCUAUUAUCAAAGAUCUCUUAGCCGAAGACAUAGAUGGGCAUGUUAUUAAAUUCUGUGAGGACUCUGCUAGAAUUGCUAAACCUCACGCGAAAGACAAGCAUGGACCUGUAGUUGGCCUUCUCGUUGUUUCUGUUAAGAUAGGAGAUCACUGCUACCAUGGUUUAUGUGAUAUGGGAGCUAGUGUUAUUGCAAUACCCCGUUAUCUCUAUGAUGAAAUCAAAGAUGAGAUUGCACCUGCUGAGAUAGAAUCCAUUGAUGUCACUAUCACGCUAGCUAAUAGAGACACUAUCUGCCCUUUGGGAAUUGUGAGAGACGUAGAAGUCCUGUGUGGUAAGACGAAGUAUCCUACUGAUUUCCUCCUCCUCGGUACUGCACAAGAUAGCUUUUGUCCCAUCAUAUUUGGUAGACCCUUUCUCAACACUGUCAAUGCUCACAUUGAUUGCAUUAAGCAGACUGUCACAGUAAGUUUUGAGGGUGUGUCUCAUGAAUUUAACUUCUCCAAGUUUGGAAGACAACCCCAUGAAAGAGAGUCGUCUGGUAGAGAUGAAAUCAUUUCUCUUGCCUCUAUUGCCGUACCUCCUACGGAUCCUUUAGAGCAAUAUCUUGAGCAUGAAAAUGAUAUGCAUAUGGAGGAGAGAGAUGAGAUAGAUAGAAUUGUCUUAGAACAACAUCCUAUUCUCAAGAAUAAUCUGCCUGUUGAACUGCUUGGGGAUCCUCCCCCACCUAAGGGUGAUCCUGUGUUCGAGCUUAAAUAGUUGCCUGAUACUCUUAAGUAUGCCUAUCUUGAUGAGAAGGAUAUAUAUCCUGUCAUUAUCAGUGCCCUCCUCUCAGAGCUCGAAGAGAAGAAGUUACUAAAAACUCUGAGGAAGCACCGCGCUGCUAUUGGAUAUACUCUUGAUGAUCUUAAUUAAGGGUAUUAGUCCUACUCUAUGUCAGCACAAGAUUAAAACCGAUCCUGACUUUAAACCAGUUGCUGAUCAUCAAAGGAGAUUGAAUCCUAAGAUGAAAGAGGUCGUUAGAAAAGAAAUAUUAAAGCUUCUGGAAGCAGGAAUCAUUUAUCCUGUUGCUCAUAGUGAUUGGUAAGUCCAGUACAUUGCGUACCUAAGAAGGGAGGUAUCACCGUCGUUCCUAAUGAUAAGGAUGAACUAAUCCCACAAAGGAUUAUUACCGGCUAUAGAAUGGUGAUAGACUUCCGGAAACUGAACAAGGCAACCAGGAAAGAUCAUUAUCCUUUGUCGUUCAUCGACCAAAUGCUAGAAAGGCUAUCAAAACACACACACUUCUGCUUUCUAGACGGUUAUUCAGGUUUCUCGUAGAUACUUGUUGCACAAUCUGAUCAAGAGUAAACCACUUUCACCUGCCCUUUCGGUACCUUUGCCUAUAGACGUAUGCCUUUUGGCUUAUGCAAUGCACCCGCCACCUUCCAAAGAUGUAUGAUGGCUAUAUUCUCUGACUUCUGUGAAAAGAUUGUCGAGGUUUUCAUGGAUUACUUCUCCGUUUAUGGGUCUUCCUUUGAUGAUUGCCUCAGCAACCUUGAUGGAGUCUUACAGAGAUGCGAAGAAACCAACCUCGUCUUGAAUUGGGAGAAGUGCCACUUUAUGGUUAAUGAAGGUAUCGUCUUAGGACACAAAAUCUCUGAAAGAGGCAUUGAAGUUGAUAAGGCUAAGGUUGAUGCAAUUGAUAAAAUGCCUUGCCCCACAGAUAUCAGAGGUAUACGAAGUUUCCUAGGUCAUGCUGGUUUGUAUAGAAGGUUCAUUAAAGACUUAUCUAAGAUUUCUAGGCCUCUUACCAACCUCUUGCAGAAGGAUGUUCCUUUUGUUUUUGAUGAGGAUUGUGAGGAAGCCUUCGAAAUACUUAAGAAGGCUUUGAUAACCGCACCUAUUGUUCAACCACCUGACUGGAACUUGCCCUUUGAAAUCAUGUGUGUCGCUAGUGAUUACGCUGUUGGUGCUGUUCUAGGACAAAGAGUUGACAAGAAGUUGAAUGUCAUUCACUACGCUAGUAAAACUCUAGACAGUGCCCAAAGAAACUAUGUCACUAUGGAGAAGAAAUUUUUAGUAGUCGUGUUUGCAUGUGAAAAAACAGAUCUUACAUAGUUGACUCCAAAGUCACUAUUCACUCUGAUCAGUCUGCUAUUAAGUACCUUAUGCAGAAGAAGGAUGCUAAGCCUAGGCUGAUCAGAUGGGUUCUCCUGCUACAGGAAUUUGAUUUGCACGUCGUUGACCGAAAAGGUGCUGACAAUCCUAUAGCAGAUAACUUGUCUAGACUAGAGAAUGUCCGUGAUGACCCACUACCAAUUGAUGACAGCUUUCCUGAUGAGCAAUUAAAUGUCAUCCGCACUUCACUUAGUGCACCGUGGUAUGCCGAUUAUGCAAACUAUAUCGUAGCCAAAUACAUACCACCCAGUUUCACCUAUGAACAAAAGAGGAAAUUCUUCGUUGAUUUGAGACACUACUUCUGGGAUGAUCCUCACCUUUAUAAGGAAGGAGUAGAUGGUGUUAUUAGACGUUGUGUGCCUGAACAUGAACAGGGACAGAUCCUGCAGAAGUGUCAUUCCGAAGCCUACGGAGGACACCAUGCUGGAGAUAGAAUUGCCCAUAAGGUAUUGCAAUCAGGUUUCUAUUGGCCCACUCUCUUCAAGGAUGCCCGUAAGUUUGUCUUUUCUUGUGACGAAUGCCUAAGGAUAGGGAACAUCAGUAAGCGUCAAGAGAUGCCUAUGAACUAUUCACUUGUCAUUGAACCAUUUGAUGUCUGGGGCUUUGAUUAUAUGGGACCCUUCCCGAGUUCCGAUGGGUACACUCACAUCUUAGUUGCUGUGGAUUACGUUACUAAGUGGGUAGAAGCUAUCCCCACUAAAAAUGCUGAUCACCACACCUCUAUUAAGAUGCUUAAAGAAGUCAUAUUCCCAAGAUUUGGAGUCCCUAGAUACUUGAUGACUGAUUGCGAUUCACACUUCAUUCAUGGUGUUUUCCGCAAGAUGCUAGCUAAGUAUGAUGUCAACCAUAGAGUUGCAUCUCCUUAUCAUCCUCAGUCUAGUGGUCAAGUGGAGUUGAGUAAUAGGGAGAUCAAAUUGAUCCUACAAAAGACCGUCAAUAGAUCUCGAAAGAACUGGUCAAGCAAACUUGACGAUGCACUAUGGGCUUAUAGGACUGCUUAUAAGAAUUCCAUGGGCAUGUCACCGUAUAAAAUGGUUUACGGUAAAGUCUAUCAUUUACCUCUUGAGCUGGAACACAAAGCUUAUUGGGCAAUCAAAGAGCUCAACUUUGAUUUCAAACUUGCUGGUGAGAAGCGGUUGUUUGAUAUCAGCUCGUUGGAUGAAUGGAGAGCCCAGGCAUAUGAGAAUGCCAGGUUGUUCAAGGAAAAGGUUAAGAGAUGGCACGACAAACGAAUACAGAAACGAGAGUUCAAUGUAGGUGAUUAUGUCUUGCUAUACAAUUCUCGUUUGAGAUUCUUUGCACGCUAGCUUCUCUCUAAAUGGGAAGGUUCCUAUGUUGUCGAGGAAGUAUAUCGUUCCGGUGCCAUCAAAAUCAAUAACACGGAAGGAAAUUUUCCUAGAGUGGUAAAUGGGCAAAGAAUCAAGCAUUACAUCUCUGGUACUCCCAUAAAUGUUGAGACCAAUAUCAUCAAUGUCAUAACUCCAGAGGAGUACAUAAGGGAUGUUUAUCAGCCUGUUUCAGACCUUGAAAACGAAGAUGUAUCUGUUUCGGCAAGAAAUUGGACUCCGAUAUUUUGUACGCAAGUAUGCAUGAUUGAAUGAAUCAUGAUACGAUCAACGUAUUUUGGCAUUCACUUUCUACAUCUUGUUUUUGUUCUUUUUUUCUUGUUUCUAUCAUUGUGGCACUCGGAUGGAUGGCGACGCUUCUUUUUUGAGUUCAUCUUCCAGGCUUCGAUUCUCAUUAAGUCUGUCCGUCUGGACAUAGUCGACGGAGCUACUGCGUAGAAUCAUGUUGUCUUCUUCUCGUGACGAGGUUAUGGUUUCUCGUCAUAUGACGAGAUUUGGUGUCAUUGCUUCAGAUCAAUGAAAUGGUUCUAUAGCGACGACUACGGUCCCAGGGUUUGGUCCUUACGUGCAUCUGGAGGAAGAUAUCUCGGAUGUCAUCGUCAGUGUCAAGUUGGCUCCGGUAGGGGAGCGGUGACAGCGAUGCAUCGUCGACACGUUCUAUCAGUUAAGUGGUUAUUCGGUGGUUUCGGAAUCUCAUUCUAAUUUUUAUUAUGUUUGAGAUGCUUUGUAUUUUCGAUGAACGUUUAUAAAAGAUCUGAUACUUUGCUUAAAAAUGAAUGAAAAAUGAUCCUUCCCCAUCGACUCUACUUCCGCUGCGCUACGAGUCGGUAAUGAUCAGAUAAAACCCUGUAUGCAUCUCCUUAGUGGUCCUGGGCGUGCUCGUAGUACCGAAAUUUUUUGUUUUCUAUCGCGUUCCUCUACAGUGGAAUCAUGAGCUAAGCUAUGGGUAGAUGGAGGUUAUGAUCUAGAAUACAUGAGAUGUAUGGGUAUAGCAUAGUAUAAUUUUGUAGUAGAUGAGAUCUAUUGCUGAAAAUUAUAUGUGCGGGUAGUAGAUGAAAUCUAUUACCCAAUAUUCUUGUUGCUUCGCGUGAAUUUGUGUGGUCCUGAUCCUGACGGCAUGGUGGAAUCUUACAAAGUUUUGGCAAUCCGCGAUCCUUUCAUGCUGCUCUUGAGUAUGUUGAUUGAUAGAUCACCGAAGUGCUUCAGUGCUUUUGGGUUCCACCAUAGUUGAGAAAGAUGGAUGUUUCGCAGACGAAAGGGAAAUGCAGAUAUGAUCUGCACGGGGGUCAUGCAUAUGACGAAGUUUAGUAUGGGGCUUGAGCUUUUAUUAUCUCGUGUUUCAUACACCUUGGAAAGUUAAUCUAGCAACUUGAAUUAUUAUACCUGAUGAUGAACGUUGGUAGCUGCAGUUUAAGUCAAAAACAUAGAAGCCAUGUAAAAAUAAAAUUUUGCAUUAACCAAUUAGAGGCGUCUAACUUGAUUUUACAGAAUGUGCAUGAGAUGUGGUAUAACAAUUCUCAUAUUCAACUUGAUUACGUAUGAGAUGACUAUAUAAUGUAAAUUAACAUGACCUGUGUGUCAUGAUUCUGCAUGAUGGCUGGAGCCAUAUGAUUGUCACUUUAAUGACAUGUGUUUCGACAUUAAGUAAUGCAUUUAUUUUACCAGCUAUAGAGAUAGCAAUAUUAUUUGAUGCGUCGAAAAGGUGGUGGCAAUAUUAUCUGAUGUGUACAUAUAUUUGUGCUAACCCUUUUCAAGUAUCCACACAACAUUUUUUUAUAAAUUGUGUACUUUUUCUUGGGUUUUAACUCAUCCUAAGUUGUUGUUCCCAUGAUCUUCGUGGGAAACCGUCUACUAUGUAGCUUCUCAUCCUGAAAAAAGGACCAGUUUUUGUAAGGUUGUUGUGUUCUUGGUUCUUUCACAAAAGUAUUGACUAGAUACUCUGCCUCUUUCUCUGAUAUCGGGCUUUCAACUCUCUAGUUAGGGUCAAAGGCUUAGAAUGUUACUCAUUAUGUAAACGAAUAUAAGACAGUUUAGAUCACUAUUAGCAUCUAAAAUGUUAAUAGUGACUCCCUAUAUAAACCAACAAAAGAACCCUUACGUUCUUUAUAUCAAGAUGGCAUUAGCAAUAGAACACUUACGUUACAAUGGGGCAGAAAAAUACCGCACAUCCUUAAUCCAAUAACCAUGACUCAAGGCUGCAUUCGGUCCACGUGGAUACCGUUUGUGUUGCGGCUUAUCCUCAUUACAACCCUUGCCGACAGUGGCCUCAGUCCUCAAACAACCACAACACGUUUGAAUGUGAUCAAUCCUAACGUGUAUUGCUCUCUCUCGGCAUCAAAUGAGAAAUCUUCUUUAUUUUCCCCUUGCAAGGUUUUGUCGAGGCUUGCUUGCGAGGCUAUAGAUGAUUUGUUUUGUCUCCAAUGUGGUUUUGCUAAGGUGCGAUUUCUAUUCCGUUACUACACUGUUUUCAAAGAAAGACGAACCGUGAGCUAUUGAUUAAGAUGGCAACCUAAAUAAUAUUUUAAAAGUGUUUAACAGGUAAAACAAAAUCACAUUCAGAUUCUAUAAUUCUUCUAAUUAAUCUUCAUCUAUAACAUGUCAAAAUUGAAGUUCGGGUUUAAAAGAUAUGGAUGUUCUUAAAAGUAUUUUAAUCAGCCCAUGGAGUUUGGGUUUAUUGAACAAAAUAUCGUUCUGAAAAACAUAGAAGAUUUUCUGGAGUCACUCAAAACAGGACAGUGGGUCGUUUAACCGAAAGGUUAAGAAGUUUUCAGUUAAAAAAAUAAAUAUUUUUUAUAUUCACUUAAAACCAGGACCGUGCGUUGAUUUCAUGAAACAAUAGGGUUUUUUCUUUGCAAAAGGCGCGACGGAUGGGUAGAAACAUUUCUCCUUUUAUUAGUAGGUAAAGACUAGUGAUCAAGAAUGUAUUAUACUCCCUUCAUUUCUAAAUAUAAGUGUUUUUAGAGAUUUCACUAAAAACUAUAUACGGAUGUAUAUAGACACAAUUUAGAUUGUAGAUUCAUUCAUUUUGCUUAAUAAUGGAGGAAGUAUUAGUUUACAGAUGUAGUGUCUUUAUGUGGCUAGCGAAAUACCAACAAUAUCUACAUGAUUAAAUGGAUGUGCCUAUAUGUGCAAUUCAGAGAGCUUGAGAGAGCAAGUUUUGGAUGAAUCCACCUUACUAUAUCCUAGUACAUCCAUCACACGUACAGCUAGCUAGGGAACCCUGACGCAAUGACGUGCAUAUAUAGAUAUGAGGCAACCCUGCCGACAUGGAAAACUAUAUGUCCAUGUGAACACUUGACUGGUCAUACUACACUACAAGAAAAUAGAAUAACCACACACGCAAUGUAUAUCAGAAUACCAGCACCGCGUAGACUUCACUAAUUGCAUGACAGGUCGAUCGACUUGCAUGUCCCAUGGAAAUGACUGGCCUAGGAUCACAGCAGUGGGGUGUCAGUUCGUAAAAUUUAACUUAAGUACCAUCUUAGUUUUAACAAAUAGUCCUAAAAUGGCACAAAGUUGUCAGAGAAUUAUAGCGAAUAUAGUAUAAAGUAGUUUGCAUUUUUUAGAGGAGUGCCACAGCCAUGGCAGUAUGGCACCUCAAGAUCUGCAGCUGUUUCGUGUAUUGGAGCUAAAUAAUGAGUGCAACAUUUCGGUGUCCUCUGCAUCCGGUUAGGAAAAAAAUCAUAAAAAACUUCAAAAAAUGCCAAUAAAAUCAAAAAAAAUCUCAUGGUAGAAAAGUUUUUGCGUGAGGUCCGCUCCAAUUUUUAGAUUAUUUGAACAUCUGAUAAGCUCUCAGCAAAAAAGAUAAAUUGGAUCAGAACAGUGUAUGAACCAUAACUUUUUUAUGAACCCUGAAUUUGUCUUUUUUUCUGAGAGAUGCUGAGAUGUUUAAAUGAUUUAAAAACUGAAGGGGCCUUUACCAUCAAAUUAUCUACAACGUAAAAAAAUCUAGUAUUUGUUUUGAUUUUAUUUUCUUCGGCGCGGGGUGCAGAUGAGCCUGGGCUCGGAAGUGGAUUAUCGCUAAAUAAUAUGUUGUUUUGUCAAAAGAAAGAUAGGACCCCCAGCCUCUGCAACCUCUGCAUUAUGAUGAUGCACACAACCAUAUUUAUUAAAGUUGAUGUAAGGGGCAGAGAACAAAAUUAUCAAUAAGUGUAGUACAUAACUAUUACAAGAUGUGAAUUUAACACUUAGGACUAAAUCGACUUCUUUCGCAAGACUUCAGUAAGGAAAAGACGCCCUCACAUCAUCGUCAUCACAUUCGACCGGAGACGUCUAGGACACGAAUUUCCAUCCUAGUAGCCCAACCAAGGCCGGGCGGGUCGCUGUUGGAUAUGAAUCCUGCAACUACCCUUGUUGGGCCAGUGGCUCCAGUCGAAGGCGCGAGAUGGCACAACUGCCCCGUCUACUUUAACGGGACCAUGAAGGCGCCUCAAAGCGCCAGCAUCACUCGCCAUGAGGAGCUCUCGAAGAUGGACUUGAGAGAAGGGGAGCGCUUACACGAUUUUGCUCAAGGAGAGGGGGAGCGCUUACACGAUUUUGCUCAAGGAGAGGGUGCAUCGUAAAAUCGCACGGUCUCCUAGAUUAGGGGGUAUUAACCUGGUCGGUCCACGCUCCUCGAAUUGGGCCGAUGGGCCAUCAUCCUACUCGAGGUGGACUCCGGAAGCUGCACAUUGGGUGUUAUCAAGGUUACAUCUGCCGAAGGCUUGACAUAUACUUCAAGACUCCUCCUCCCGCCUCUAUGUUAGGAUACCGACCUUGUAGCCCUAGAUAUCCUACGUAGGGUUUUACCUUCAUCAAGAGGGCUCGAACCUGGAUAAACAUCGUCUCCCUGUUCCUGUUAUCAUUUGUCCAACAUCAACAGCUUGGGGCCUCCUACCCCGAGGUCUACCGGUUUUCACACCCACUGUGUUCUCUCAAGAAAAAAAUGCUAUAUUUUUUUAACCGGUCUAACCCCCUUUCCAUUACUUGAAUAACGAAAUACAUCAGAUCCUAGAGUUCAACAGGAGGAGGGAAAGGAGAUAGAGCGAGUUCAACCAUUGCUAGGAAACCCACUGUGACCGCUCGUCAUCGAAUCGAUCACUGCGAGACGAAAACCUAGCUACAAUAUCCUAGCGGGAGAAGUAUCAUUCCUAUUACAACCUAGGAAUAAUAGGUACAAAAGAGAUAAUAGACUAAACAGUUUUUAAGUAUGUCAGAACACCACAAAAAGACUGCCAGCAGCCACCCUUGCAAAAGUGCAUCGUCCCCAUACCUCCGCUGUUCAUCCACGGCCAGCAUUGCACAGCCUCAUCAGUGACACAGUCCCCGCCCGAACAACUUCAGUUCCGGUUCGCAUCCUCUUCAUGUCGCCUGCUGGCUGCAAACCUGCCCAAUAAAGAAGGAAAGAGCAAUCAGUAAACACAAUCUCAAAUGAAGAUUUGAUCGGUUUUUUCUCCAAGGUAGGUGGAUUCCGAGCUAACCAAAUAGCCCAGGUAAUUGCAGCCAAGCCCACCGUAUAGAAUUUAUCAUCUCCAGGCAUGAAACAAUGGGACCAGGCAAAGUAUUGUCAGUGGUUGUUGGGUCCAAAAUAUGUCCCCAAACAAACCCCAGCCGAACGCCAUAACGCCAUAACUCUACAAAAAAGUGAUAUAAUGUGUAACUAUUUUGUUCAAGUCGAGCAGAUGGACUCUAUCUUGCACCAUAGCGUUUAAGCAGUAUUGAAAUUAGGUCCGCCUAUACAUCAAGUAUCUUGGGAAAAAAAACUGCAUCGAUCAAUUUUCCCAGCAGUUGGAUGGCACGAUCGUGGCACCACCUAUUAUCGUUUUCGCCCCUCACAUCGUACCUCCGUUCGGCCUCGCACAAAACAAAUUGUGUCUGACGCAAAGAAAAAAUGUAGGUACCUGAUGUUUAUCUAAACAAAUUGUGUGUUGGAUUAACUACUUAUUAUACAACAAGCUGAAGGUAUGUGUCCAGCCGUGCCAACGAGCCCGUACGGAAGAUAUAAUAGACACAUGAAAUCAAAGACAUACAGCUCGGAUAUGCGUCUCCCGUGAACGUGAUGAUCAGGGUAAGCCAGCUCCUAGAGCUGCCNNNNNNNNNNACAGAUGGACUCUAUCUUGCACCACAGCGUUUAAGCAGUAUUGAAAUUAGGUCGAGCAUAUGGUUUUCGCCCCUCACAUCGUACCUUCGUUCGGCCUCGCACAAAACAAAUUGUGACUGACGCAAAAAAAAAAUUCAGGUACCUGAUGUUUAUCAAAUGUGUGGAAUUCUUCGUCGGCACAACCAAUGGCGUCCUGGAUUAACUAAUUAUUAUACAACAAGCUGAAGGUAUGUGUCCAGCCGUGCCAACGAGCCCGUACGGAAGAUAUAAUGGACACAUGAAAUCAAAAAACCAUACAGCUCGUAUAUGUGUCUCCCGUGAACGUGAUGAUCAGGGUAAGCCAGCUCCGAGAGCUGCCAUGCCAGAUAUAUAUAUUCCUUUGUCCGAUGCGAUGCUCUAGAUUAUUUUGGCUCCACACUCGUAAAUCCAUCAAAUAUUUAUGUGCACUCUGCAGCAGACAACAUGCACAUAGGAGUACUCUUCUUGAAAANNNNNNNNNNUUUGAGAGCUCCCGUGAACCUUUGUCCGAUGUGAUGCUCUAAAUUAUUUUGGCUCCACACUCGUAAACCCAUCAAAUAUUUAUUUGCACUCUGCAGCAGACAACAUGCACAUAGGAGUACUCUUCUUGAAAACUAAAGGAAAGUCUCGUGGCACAGCUCUCAGGUUUUUGUUCAUUAGCGAACACAUUAAGCUCUAAUGAUGGAUGUCACACGUAACAUGCCAGUACAAUAAUGGUUGCACAUGAGUUUUGGAAAUUACCACGGCAACAGGCAAACUAACUACGUCGAUUGAUAAUGACAUGAACGAGGCACUUGCACNNNNNNNNNNCAAUGAUGGAUGUCACACACGUAACAUGCCAGUACAAUAAUGGUUGCACAUGAGUUUUGGAAAGUACCACGGCAACACGCAAACUAACUACGUCGAUUGAUAAUGACAUGAACGAGGCACUUGCACNNNNNNNNNNCUCGAUUGAUGAUGACAUGAAGGCACUUGCACACCACACCCGGUCUAUAAGUACCACCCCCAAACAACCCAAGAAAACCAUCCCAAGCUAGCAUACCCUACAAGCUUAAUUAGCCACAUACCAGCACAAACGAUCAGUAGCAAUNNNNNNNNNNUCUGUCCCAACAGCACUUGCACACCCCACCCGGUCUAUAAGUACCACCCCAAACAACCCAAGAAAACCAUCCCAAGCUAGCAUAGCCUACAAGCUUAAUUAGCCACAUACCAAAGGGCCUCCUGCCUGGGCUCACCGCACCGGCCACGUGGAGGCCCAUCUGUCCCGGUUUAUGCAAGAACCGAGACUAAAGGUUUAGGGCAUUAGUACCGACACUUUAGUCCCGGUUCAAAAAACGGGACAAAUGGCCCUCACGAACCGGGACAAUAGGUCCUUUUUCUACUAAUGGGAUAAGCUCUUUUGCAUUGUAGCUCGCUGGACGGUGUGGUUUAACUUUAGGUUUGUCCUUGUGAUGUUCGUGCUAUGCAUCAAGUGAUAGCUNNNNNNNNNNNNNNNNNNNNNNNNNNNNNNNNNNNNNNNNNNNNNNNNCUGGACACAUGGAAUCAAAACCGUACGAGACUCCUAUAUGUGUCUCCCGUGAACGUGAUGAUCAGGGUAAGCCAGCUCCUAGAGCUGCCAUGCCAGAUAUAUGUAUAUAUUCCUUUGUCCGAUCCGGUGCUCCAGAUUAUUAUGGCCACACUUGUAAGCCCAUCAAAUAUUUAUGUACACACAGCAGACAACAUGCAUAUAGGAGUANNNNNNNNNNAUGGACACAUGGAAUCAAAAUCGUACGACUCCUAUUUGUGUCUCCGUGAACGUGAUGAUCAGGGUAAGCCAGCUCCUAGAGCUGCCAUGCCAGAUAUAUCUAUUCCUUUGUCCGAUCCUGUGCUCCAGAUUAUUAUGGCCACACUUGUAAGCCAUCAAAUAUUUAUGUACACACAGCAGACAACAUGCAUAUAGGAGUACUCUUCUUGGAAACAAAAGGAAACUCUCAUGGCACAGCUCUCAAGUUUUUGUUCAUUAGCGAACAGAUUAAGCUCCAAUGAUGGAUGUCACACCCGUAACAUGCGAGUACAAUAAUGGUUGCACAUGAGUUUUGGAAAUUACCACGGCAAGAUUGAAACUAAUUACGUCGAUUGAUAAUGACAUGAACGAGGCAUUUGUUGGAAAUAAGUCGUGACGGAGCACGGUGCGACCGGCGUCGAUGCGUCGGGUCGGGUCCGUGACGGUGCGACCGACGUUGGUGCGUCGGGUCGGGUUCCGCAGGCUGGGUUACGACAACAUUGUGUGCAUGUACGUGUGGCGUGUGUGUAGUGCAGCGCAAAGCGUGCGUGGUCGCCAAGGCAGCUCGAGCUGGCCGUUAGCACGUUGUGCGCCUCGUGCGUGCUGGCCGGGCGGAUCGCUAGCUCUAGGUGCGUGCGUGCGUAGGAGACGUGGACGCUGCGUACCUGUAGGACUACAAAGCCGCGGACGCGAACAUGUAUUCAUCAGGGAAAGGAAGCAAAGUGGCUGUGUGUGCGGCCAGGCGUUAGUCGCCGGAAAAACUCCAGUGUGCAUUCUCCUUUCUUCUACCUCUGUCCAGUUGUGUGUGAGAGANNNNNNNNNNUCGAGUUCGUCGCUUGCCGCGCCGGGCAGGAGAACGAGAGGAAGAAGAAGAGAAAUGGAUGAUUUGGUUCGAAAUUUUCUAACUCCCGCUUAUACAGGUGGAUCUACAGUCCCGAUUCGUGGCUCGAUCCGGGACUAAAGAUCCUUUAGUCCCGGAUGGAGCCACGAACUGGGACUAAAGGCCCUUUUUCGGCUGACCAGAAGGCGGGAAGCAGGGGCCUUUAGUCCCGGGGCGUGGCUCGAACCGGGACUAAAGACCACUUUAGUCCCGGGUGGAGCCACGACCCGGGACUAAAGCCCCUUUUUCGGCUGACCAGAAGGCGGGAAGCAGGGGCCUUUAGUCCCGGGGCGUGGAAAGAACCGGGACUAAAGUUUUGCCUAUAUAAACCCUCGCCCCUGCCCACCAUAUCCCCUGUUUUUUGGUUGUUGAAGUGUGACCAUGCCAUGCUCUUGCCACUCUAGUUCAUGCACAUGACGUGUUCGAUGAAAUGCUCGAGCCACUCUACUUAAGCUUUCUCCUCUCCAAGCUCGACCUCCAAGCUCCAUUUUCCUUAAUAUUUGUCUAGGUUUGGCCGUGCACCAACUGCGAGCACCACCGUGGUGAGCCUCUUGUUCUUAUCUUCUUUUUAAAAUUAAAAAAAUCUUACUUGUAUGAAUUAUAUACAUACUUGUAUAAAUUACUCACUUUCAUUAUUUUUUGUUAUGAUAUAGUGCGAUGGUUUUGGUAUCCGCCUCCGUCGGCCCUCGUCCUGUCUAUGAUUCGGAUGUGGUAUAUAUUAUAUUUUAUAACUAUUUGUUUUAUUUAGUGUUUAUGACAAUUAUGACAUAUAUUUUUUAAUCUAGGAGGUAUGUGAACCGGAAAUUCCAACCCACAUAAAAAUUCUUGUCGAGAAGUUCAAUUUGGUUGAAAAAGAAAACAAAUACUUGAAGAAAAAAUUGAAAAUAAUUGAGGAUAAGAAUAUGGAACUGGAGUUGCAUGUCGCCGAUGUCAUCGAUGAUUGCAAGAUGAAGAUCGAUGCGAUGCGGUUGAAGAUGGAUGCAAUGCGCUUGAAGAUGGAUGAAAUGCGCUUGAAGAUUAGGAAUAUUAGAAAAUAUGCCAUUGAUAAGGAGGUUGGUAUCAUUAUGUUGUUGGGUCAAUUGUUACCUUAGUGCGAUUUUGAUCGCGUUUGUUGUUGCAUUUAAAUGUUUUACAUAGUUGUAUGUUGUUUCAUGAGAGAACUUUAUGUAUUUAUUUUUUGCAAUAAUAACAUUUGGUCACUACUGUUCUUUGGCUUUAAUGUGAUGAUGAACUUGUAUUAAUUUGGUCAUAUGUUUUGCAAUGGUUUUUUAAUAUAUUUGAUUUCAUAAUAGAGAUGAAUCGCCAAUGAUAAUAUUUAAUUUCAUAAUAUGGUUUUUUGAACUCCAUAAAAAGUUGAGAGGGCUACGACAAAAACUAGAUGCACUUCGUGUACAAAACGGACAAUCUCUCUCGAAGUAUCAGGGUUUCGAACGAGAACUUGUCUCUUACAAAGGGAUUUCAUUUUUGUGAACUUAUUUGAACUCCAUACUUUUUGGUGUGUUCAAAAUGCACCAUUCAAAGGCACAACACAAAAUUUCAACAAUUUCUGACUUCAUUUGGUAUAUUUCGUGGAUUUACUUAUUUGUUUUGAGCUAGUUGACCCUGAAAUUGAAAAGCACUACAAAUGAACUCUGAAAAUGUUGAAAGUUGGCAUGCUAUCAUCAUUUCACCCACAUAGCAUGUGCUAAAAAGUUGAGAGGGCUACGACAAAAACUGGAUGCACUUCGUGUACAAAACGGACAAUCUCUCUCGAAGUAUCAGGGUGUCGAACGAGAACUCAUCUCUUACAUGGAUAAUAUGAAAAUGAAAAGUGUUUGAAAUUUAGUACGUUCCAUACAUGCAUUACAUAAAAGGUUUAAUANNNNNNNNNNUUGGAUGCACUUCGUGUACAAAACGGACAAUCUCUCUCGAAGUAUGAGGGUUUCGAACGAGAACUCAUCUCUUACAUGGAUAAUAUGAAAAUGAAAAGUUUUUGAAAUUUAGUACGUUCCAUACAUGCAUUACAUAAAAGGUUUAAUACAUUAUUACAUUAUUGCACCAAUAUUCCUAUCUAUUAUUUCUGUUUUAUUCUGGGUCAUAGCCAUGGAGAAUCUUCAUCAUUCAUUAGGAUGCUUGGGUCAUUUUUCACUUUGAAGGGCGGAAUUUCAUGAAACUUAUUAUAAUCUUCUGNNNNNNNNNNCUUUUCUUCUGGGUCGUAGCCAUGGAGAAUCUUCAUCAUUCAGUAGGAUGCUUGGGUCAGUUUUCACUUUGAAGGGCGGAAUUUCAUGAAACUUAUUAUAAUCUUCUGACAUGUCUGUCUUGUCAUCUACUCCCACGAUGUUUCUUUUCCCUGAAAGAACCAUGUGGCGUUUUGGCUCAUCGGAUGAUAUCUUCUUUUGCUGAUUUCUUUUUCUCGUUAAUGUAGACAUGUCCUUCACAUAGAAAACCUGAGCGACAUCAUUGGCUAGGACAAAUGGUUCGUCCAUGUACGCAAGAUUGUUAAGAUCCACUGUUGUCAUGCCGUACUUUUGGUCUACAACUAACCCGCCUCCUCUCAGUUUCACCCAUUUGCACCGAAAUAAAGGAAUCAUAAAAGUAGGUCCAUAGUCAAGUUCCCAUAUCUCCUCUAUGUACCCGUAAUAUGUUUCCAAACAGUGCCCAUUCUCGUCUGUUGCAUCAAAGCAUACACCACUAUUUUGGUUGGUGCUCUUUUUAUCUUGGGCAACCGUGUAAAAUGUAUUCCCAUUUAUCUCAUACCCUUGCAAAGUACAUAUAGUCGAAGAUGGUGGCCUGGCCAAACAGUACAGCUCAUCUCCAACGGUGUCGUCAUUCAGGAGAUGUGUCUGCAACCAACUNNNNNNNNNNGAAAGUACAUAUAGUCGAAGAUGGUGGCCUGGCCAAACAAACAACUCAUCUCCAACGGUGUCGUCAUUCAGGAGAUGUGUCUGCAACCAACUGCCGAAAGUCUUCUCGUGUUCCCCUUUAAUCCAAGAGUCAGCCUUCCCCGGGUUUUCGGAGCGUAGAAUAUUCUUGUGUCUCACGAUAUACGGAGCCACCAUGGUGGAAUUGUGUAGAACUGUGUAGUGUGCUUGAGAGAAAGAAUGCUCGUCCAUACAUACUUUUGCUUUCCUUCCUAGUGUGCCUUUUCCUGUCAGCCUACCCUCAUACCGAGAUUCAGGAACACCAAUCGGCUUAAGGUCAGGAAGAAAGUCCACACAAAACUCAAUGACCUCCUCUGUUCCAUAGCCCUUGGAGAUGCUUCCUUCUGGCCUAGCACGGUUACGAACAUAUUUCUUUAAGACUUCCAUGGACCUCUCGAAGGGGAACAUAUUGUGUAGAAACACAGGACCGAGAAUUCUAAUCUCUUCGACUAGGUGAACUAGGAGGUGUGUCAUUAUAUUGAAGAAGGAUGGCGGGAACAACAACUCAAAGCUGACCAGACAUUGGACCACAUCAAUCUGUAACCCUGAUAGACUUUCUCGAUCGAUUACCUUCUGAGAAAUUGCAUUGAGGAAUGCACAUACCUUCACAAUUGCCAGGCGAACAUUUUCCGGUAGAAUUCCCCUCAAUGCAACCGGAAGCAAUUGCGUCAUAAGCAUGUGGCAGUCAUGAGACUUUAGGUCUUGGAAUUUUUUGUCUUUCAUAUUUAUGAUUCCCUUUAUAUUCGACGAGAAGUCAGUCAGGACCUUGAUACUGAAAAGGACUUCAAAGAAGAUUUCCUUCUCUUCCUUAGUAAGAGCGUAGCUGGCACGCCCUUGAAACUGCCCUGGAUGCAUGCCAUCUCUUCCUUUAUGACGUUCCUGGUCCUCCCGUGCUUCCGGUGUAUCUUUUGACUUCCCAUACAAGCCCAGGAAGCCUUGAAUAUUCACGCAGAGAUUCUUCGUCAGGUGCAUCACGUCGAUUGCCGAGCGGACCUCAUGGACUUCCCAGUAGGGUAGCUCCCAAAAUAUAGAUUUCUUCUUCCACAUGGGUACGCGCUUAUCAGGGCCGUUAGGAACAGGUUGGCUGCCAGGACCCUUUCCAAAGAUUACUUUUAAAUCUUUGACCAUAUCAAAUACUUCAGCACCAGUACGGAUGACAGGCUUCCCCCGGGGUUCUGCCUUGCCAUUGAAAUGNNNNNNNNNNAGACCCUUUCCAAAGGUUACUUUUAAAUCUUUGACCAUAUCAAAUACUUCAGCACGAGUACGGAUGACAGGCUUCCCCCGGGGUUCUGCCUUGCCAUUGAAAUGCUUGACUUUUUUCUUUAAGGGAUGCUUGGGCGGAAGAAAACAACGAUUGUACGGAUACACAUUCUUCCUACAGUUGUCGAGAUAUAUACUUUCUGUCUGAUCCAAACAGUGCGUGCAUGCAUUGUAUCCCUUGUUUAACUGUCCUGAAAUGUUACUAAGAGCAGGCCAAUCAUUGAUGGUUACGAAAAGCAACUCUCGAAGGUCAAAUUCCUCUUGUUUGUGCUCGUCCCACACACGUACACCUGGUUCGGCCCACAGCUGUAAAAGUUGAUCAACUAAUGGCCUUAGGUACACAUCAAUAUCGUUGCCGGGUUGCUUUAGACCUUGUAUAAGCACUGGCAUCAUAAUAAACUUCCGCUUCAUGCACAACCAAGGAGGAAGGUUGUAGAUACAUAGAGUAAUGGACCAGGUGUUGUGACUGCAACUCUGCUCCCCAAAAGGAUUCAUGCCAUCUGUACUCAGACCUAACCAUAAGUUCCUUGCGUCUGCUGCAAAUCUCGGGAACUCUCUCUUGAUUUUUCUCCACUGCCGACCAUCAGCGGUGUGCCUCAACUUAUCGUCUUUCAUACAAUCUUCCAUGUGCCAUCGCAACAACUUCGCAUGAUCUUUAUUUCUGAACAGACGUUUCAACCGUGGUAUUAUAGGAGCAUACCACAUCCCCUGGCAGGAACCGUCUUCCUGGGUGGCUCGCCCUCAAUAUCACCAGGGUCAUCUUUUCUGAUCUUAUACCGCAAUGCAGUCUAUACCGGGCAUUUAUCCAUAUUCUCGUACUUCUCACCUCGGUAGAGGAUGCAUUCAUUAGGGCAUGCAUGUAUCUUCUGCACGUCUAAUCCUAGAGGGCAGACAAGCUUCUUUGCUUCGUACGUGCUGGCGGGCAAUUCGUUCUUUCUUGGAAGCAUCUUCUUCAUCAGUACCAGCAACUUUUCGAAUGACGAGUCAGUCACACCGGUCUCUGUCUUCCACUUCAGCAAUUCCAGUGUGCUACCCAGCUUCUUCUGGCCAUCUUCACAAGUUGGGUACAACAAUUUGUUGUGGUCCUGUAACAUCUGCUCGAACUGCAACCUCUCCUUUUCUAUGUCGCAACCUCGCCGUGCAUCAGAAAUGACCCGGCCAAGAUCAUCAGCGGGCUCAUCUGGUUCCCGUUCUUCAUCCUGAUCUUCUUCUUCAUUGUCUUGCAUUGCGGUAUCAGCAUACUCAGGGAACAUAGAUCGGUAGUUGUCAUCAUCGUUCUCUUCUUCUUCAUCGUCGCCUUCCAUCAUAACCCCUCUUUCUCCGUGCUUGGUCCAAACAUUAUAGCCCGACAUAAAACCGGACCGAAGCAGGUGGCUCUGAAUGACUCUUGAGGAAGUGUAAUCCUUCCAAUUCGACAUUCAACACAUGGACAAAACAUAUAGCCACCACCAUGCUUGUUCGCAUUGGCUGCAUCUCGAAAAGAAUGCACGCCUUCUCUGUAAGCGGCUGUGCGUCGAUCACCGUACAUCCAUGGAUGGCUCAUCUCUGCGUUAUACGACAGUAUAUCAAAUACAAUCACGAUCCUAAAAAUUAGUACCGCACGAUCUAAACGAGGAAAUAUAGUUGCUAACCUUUUAGAAUAAGUAGAAAUAAAGAGGAAGAGGUUUAAGCGUGGCUUGGGCAUCUCAUAUCGUAGUUGUAUUCGGUGAACUGAAGCGGCAUCGCUCUAACACACAUUUCAACAAACACCUCUAGUGCAUAAAAAAAAGUGGAGAGCAAGCACCCACCCACAAUCCUCCAUCCAAUAAAAAUGCAACGAAGAGGGGAGAGGGGGGCUGUGCUAUAUAUAGGCAGAGGACUUUAGUCCCGGUUUGAGACACAAACCGGGACUAAAGGUGGCGCACAUGCGGGCUGCCCACCGCGUAGCCCUUUACUCCCGGCUUGGGACACGAACCGGGACUAAAGGCUCCUUACGGGCCGGGACUAAAGCCUCGAGGGAGGAUAUGAGAAUUGGGGCGACGUAGCCGGGCCUUUAGUUCCGGCCCAGAGGCAGGCCGGGACUAAAGGGUACAGGCCAAAGGCCCGGUUUCUACUAGUGUAUGUGUCCAGCCCUGCCAACGAGCCAGUAUAAUACACCAGAGUACGAAAGAUAUAAUAUACACAUGAAAUCAAAACCAUACAGCUCUUAUAUGUGUCUCCCGUGACCGUGAUGAUCAGGGUAUGCCAGCCCCUAGAGCUUCCAUGCCAGAUAUAUUCCUUUGUCCGAUGCUAUGCUCCAGAUUAUUAUGGCCACACUUGUAAACCAAUCAAAUAUUUAUAUGCAAACAGCAGACAACAUGCAUAUAGGAGUAUCUUCUUGGAAACUAAAGGAAACUCUCAUGGCACAGCUCCCAGGAUUUUGUUCAUUAGUGAAGAGCAGAUUAAGCUCCAAUGAUGAAUGUCACACACGUAACAUGCCAGUACAAUAAUGGUUGCACAUGAGUUUUGGAAACUACCACGGCAAGAAUGAAACUAAUUACCUCGAUUGAUAAUGACAUGAACGAGGCACUUGCACACCACACCCGGUCUAUAAGUACCACCCCCAAACAACCCAAGAAAACCAUCCCAAGCUACCAUAGCCUACAAGCUUAAUUAGCCAUAUACCAGCACGAUCCAUCAGUAGCAAUGGCGCCUUCCAAGCUCGCCUUCUUCCUCGCUCUGAACCUGGUCCUCCUUGCCGCCGUGCAGGGCUGCGGUCCCUACUGCCCACCGGUCNNNNNNNNNNGGCGCCCUCCAAGCUCGCCCUCUUCCUCGCCCUGAACCUGGUCCUCCUUGCCGCUGUGCAGGGCUGCGGCCCCUACUGCCCACCGGUCGUCCCCACCCCGCCGAUCCUCCCACCACCCGUGCCGUCGACCGACGGAGGCAGCUGCUCGAUCAACACGCUGAAGCUGGGCGUGUGCACCAACGUGCUGAACCUGCUGAAGCUUAAGAUUGGCGUGCCGGCGAACGAACAGUGCUGCCCACUCCUGGGCGGGCUCGCCNNNNNNNNNNGCUGCUCGAUCAACACGUUGAAGCUGGGCGUGUGCGCCAACGUGCUGAACCUGCUGAAGCUCAAGAUCGGCGUGCCGGCGAACGAGCAGUGCUGCCCACUCCUGGGCGGGCUCGCCGACCUCGACGCCGCGGUGUGCCUCUGCACCGCCAUCAGGGCCAACAUCCUCGGCAUCAAGCUCAACGUCCCCAUCGACCUGACCCUCCUCCUCAACCAGUGCGGCAAGAAGUGCCCAACCAACUUCACCUGCCCCAUCUGAUGCAUCCAUCCAUUGCAUGGGCUCCCUCGCUCGUGCAUGCAUGCUUGAUAAGCUCGUGAUUGAUCAUCAGGGUCAUUGUAUCCCGUUAUGGUAUCUAAAUGCACGAUUUGCAUAUUUGUAAAAGGAUAUACAUACUUGUACACGCACCUUGGAAUAUAAAAUUUGUUCAAGUUGGGGUUUUCUCUCUUCCCUCUCGGCUGGAACCCUAGCCCUCCUCGUCAAGAGAAAAGAUCAUCCUAGUGUAUGUAGCUUAGUAAAUAUACCCUAGCCCUCCUCGGCACAAAAAAUCUUAUGUAACUUAGGAACAAGGCAGGAUCUAAGAAUCAUUUUUNNNNNNNNNNCAACACGUUGAAACUGGGCGUGUGCGCCAACGUGCUGAACCUGCUGAAGCUCACUCCUGGGCGGGCUCACCGACCUCGACGCUGCCGUGUGCCUCUGCACCGCCAUCAGGGCCAACAUCCUCGGCAUCAAGCUCAAUGUCCCCAUCGACCUCACCCUCCUACUCAACCAGUGCGGCAAGAAGUGCCCCGCCAACUUCACCUGCCCCAUCUGAUCCAUCUAUCCAUGGAUUUACUCGUAGCUAUAUAUUGCAUGUCAUACGCGCGCACCAUAUGUCAGGAC
RNAcentral lists this long non-coding RNA (33059 nucleotides) under Hordeum vulgare. RNAcentral's name for it is "long non-coding RNA (HVUL_LNC020460)". Lineage: Eukaryota; Viridiplantae; Streptophyta; Magnoliopsida; Poales; Poaceae. The record is from RNAcentral.